Molecule: RNA transcript, 2294 nt
Organism: Panthera uncia (snow leopard)
Lineage: Eukaryota; Metazoa; Chordata; Mammalia; Carnivora; Felidae
Gene: TRAPPC6B
Gene name: trafficking protein particle complex subunit 6B
Exons: 7
Source: RefSeq, a predicted model, not a curated record
AGAGGGGACCGGAAGUUGAUUUUCGCCCCCCGCCCAGGGGCCGGAUAGGGUCUCCGCUGACUCCGUUUGGUUCCGGCUGCUGUCAGAUUCCGUCGUUGGGCCUGAGGGCUUGUUGGCCCUGGGGUGGGCUCGCCCCGGUACCGGCCUCACUCUUGUAGCAGCCUUGGGGAAACGGAGCGAAUUCCUGGUCUCCUAGCAACCAGGGACCGGCUGUGGACUGAAGGAGCUGCGGCGCCACAGUGCAAAUCGCUCAGGCGCUAGCCGGAACCCUUGAGCCCGGCCAAAACGGGAGCCUAAACUCUGCGCUUGGAAGAAUAAGCAGGAAAUGGCGGACGAGGCGUUGUUUUUGCUUCUACAUAACGAGAUGGUUUCUGGAGUGUACAAGUCUGCGGAGCAGGGGGAGGUGGAAAAUGGACGCUGUAUUACUAAGCUGGAAAACAUGGGGUUUCGAGUGGGACAAGGAUUGAUAGAAAGGUUUACAAAAGAUACUGCCAGGUUCAAGGAUGAAUUAGAUAUCAUGAAGUUCAUUUGUAAAGAUUUUUGGACUACAGUCUUCAAGAAACAAAUCGACAAUCUAAGGACAAAUCAUCAGGGCAUCUAUGUACUUCAGGACAACAAAUUUCGUCUGCUUACUCAGAUGUCUGCAGGAAAACAGUAUUUAGAACAUGCAUCUAAGUAUUUGGCAUUUACCUGUGGCUUAAUCAGAGGUGGCUUAUCAAACUUGGGGAUAAAAAGUAUUGUAACGGCUGAAGUGUCUUCAAUGCCUGCCUUUUUCUAGGGGCACCUGGGUGGCUCAGUCGGUUAAGCGUCCGACUUCGGCUCAGGUCAUGAUCUCGUGAUUCGUAAAUUUCAGGUGAUGAUACAGAAGCUCUAAAACAUACUGAAAUGCAAGGCAAGGCUUCAACAGUGUAAAGAGAUAAAUUAUUCGUGUAUAAAGUAUUUCAAGUAGCAAUGAUUUAAUUACAUUGUUGGACAUUUGUAUUGAUAUAAGCUAUUUGCUAAUUUAUGUAAUGAAAGAUGCACUCUUAACCAGGAGUAAGAUUGUAUUUUAUUAAUUUAACACAGACCAAGUUAAAGCAGAUAAAGACACAUUCUACCAUAACAUAGAUUUUACUAAAACUAUUCAGAAUGAAAACCUGAUUUCAAACAACUAAACCCCAAGAUUUAGAACCCUUAUUUUAAACAUUCAUAUUUGCUCAGACUGGUAUGUAUUUAACCACAGAUAGAAAAGCAAAACUCAGGGUUUGAUAAAUUAGCAUUAAGAAAAGUAUGCAUCAGGGGUGCUUGGUUGGCUCAGUUGGUUAAGUGUCUGACUUUGGCUCAGGUCAUGAUCUCGUGGUUCAUGAGUUUAAGCCCUGCGUUGGGCUCUGUGCUCACAGCUCGGAGCCUGGAGCCUGCUUCAGCUUCUGUGUCUCCCUCUCUCUCUGCCCCUCCCCCACUAGCACAUGCGCACAUGCUCUCUUUCUCUCUCUCAAAAAUAUAAAUAAAACAUUAUGAACUUUUUUUUAAUUUAAAAAAGUAUGUAUUAGUCAGAAUCAUUUCUGUAAAAAUGAGCAAAUUUCAGUUUUGCUUUAUGAAUUUAUUUUAGUUAUUUAAGAAAAGCAAACAGUACACUAAACAUUUUUUAUUUUAUUAUAAUUUAUUUCUAUUAAGAAUUUUUAUGCCUAUGAAAAUUUUAUAUACAUUGUGUAUUAUGUGUGUGAUACAUAUAUAUACUAUAUCUAACCGCCUAAAUUGCAAAAAAGUUCAUUUUACUUUAACAGAAUUUAGUCCUUAAUUUUACUUUAAUAGAAUUCAGUCCUUGAGAACUCCAUUAAUGUAAUUAAAGUGUAAUAUAGAUUAGUUUAAAUGUGAAUUCAGUGACUCCAGGGCCAAAGACUAUUAGGCAUUUUAGGAAGGAAUUUUAUACUUAACUCCUGUUACAGUUUUGACUUUCACCUUUUUUCCCCAUGUGUGGAAGGACUGGUGAAGGUUCUAACAUCCUUAUUUUUAUUCCCUAAUUACUAUUUCCCAAGAGCAGAGGGGUGGAUAAUUGGCUUAGUCACACCAACAUUCAUUGAACAAUGUCUAUUCAGUGGGUUGGGUCAGUGCUCAUUAGUGUGUCUAUCAUCUCCUCUUCCAUCUGAUAACCGAGAGAAGACAAGCGUGAAGAUGAAAGUCAUCACAUUGAGGAUAGCACGAUGCAUCAAUAGGAAGCACCUUUAUUGUGCUUCUGAAUUAACCAAUCCUGGAACUGCUUUACCUUUGGACUUUUUGUUACAUGGGAUAAUAAAUUCCUUAUAUUGCUCAAUCCA